This 738-nucleotide long non-coding RNA is filed under the name Sus scrofa (pig). RNAcentral describes it as "lncRNA (ENSSSCG00040031087.1)". The record is from RNAcentral. Lineage: Eukaryota; Metazoa; Chordata; Mammalia; Artiodactyla; Suidae.
GUGGGUGUGGAAAGUGGGUAGGCUGGAAAUUAAAAUCCUGCCUUUGUCUUCUUCUUUAAAGGCCAAGUUAAAUAGAGGAGGUGGGAGCUAUUUGGGUUGUUGCUGGUAUAGAAAAAUGCAAUCUCAAGAAUAUGCGAACAUUGCCACUUUGAAUAGAAAACAAUGCACUCUCCCUGACACAUUGUAUUUCAUCUUUGCCUGUUUGCUUCCAAGUUCCUCCUGCAUAAAAUAACAUUAUUUCUCAAUGUUUUGCCCUGAAGGCAAUUUAUAAAUGACUUUGCCAAUCACUGCAAGGGGAGUACUUCAUUCUGGUAGCCCUCACCCGGAAGGGUGCUUAAUCUUUUUGUCUUAAAUAUAUCCGGUUCAAAAAAGUGUAUUGAGGAGUUCCUGUUUCAGGAAGCAGAUUAAAAGCUGGCAGCAGGUUAGGAACUCGACAUAGUCUCUGUGAGGAUGCGCCUCGCUCAGUGGGAGCCUCAAAUGGCCCGUGACCUUGCUUCCUGGUUCUACCAAGGUGAUCAAAUCAGGUUUACUAACCUAAACGAGAUCUGCAACAGGAAGCACAACAUAUUACAAUCUCAGCUCCCAGAGGCUCAACCACAACAACCUCCAGCAAGAAGACUCAGGAGGGACAUUUACUUCACAGAGCACAUCUUACUCUCUGGCAGUCCUGCAGGAAGCUCAGCCACAGAGGCCAGGCGACAGUGGCCCAGCCCUGCUUCUGAUUGGAAGAGGAAGUAA